GACGAACGCUGGCGGCGUGCUUAACACAUGCAAGUCGAACGGAAAGUGCCCCUUCGGGGUGACUCGAGUGGCGAACGGGUGAGUAACACGUGGGUGAUCUGCCCUGCACUUUGGGAUAAGCCUGGGAAACUGGGUCUAAUACCGAAUACACCCUGCUGGUCGCAUGGCCUGGUGGGGGAAAGCUUUUGCGGUGUGGGAUGGGCCCGCGGCCUAUCAGCUUGUUGGUGGGGUGAUGGCCCUACCAAGGCGA
Molecule: ribosomal RNA, 250 nt
Filed under: uncultured Actinomycetes bacterium
Lineage: Bacteria; Bacillati; Actinomycetota; Actinomycetes
Description: uncultured actinobacterium partial 16S ribosomal RNA
Rfam family: Bacterial small subunit ribosomal RNA
Source: RNAcentral